Molecule: long non-coding RNA, 1001 nt
Organism: Mastomys coucha (southern multimammate mouse)
Lineage: Eukaryota; Metazoa; Chordata; Mammalia; Rodentia; Muridae
Exons: 6
Source: RefSeq, a predicted model, not a curated record
GCAGGAUGGAAAAGAAACCCCACAGAGCACCCGCCAUGACAGCAGCUCUGAGGAGUCAGGCCUACGGCCCGGAAGCCCUACUCUGCCGCAAGGCCGCUACAGCGGCCGCCGCCGUCGCCCGCCGAUGUCGUCAUCACCGCGAGCCGGAUCCAGCCCCGAGCUUGUCCGCGCCCCCGGAGAGUUGUGACAGCUGACUGACUAAUCAGGAGAAGGCACUCAGAAUCGAUGCUCGGAAUGGGCUUGAGCUUAAAAGGGCAAGACCUUAUCUAUCAGGCCUGAUUCCUAAUGAGGAGAGAGCAAAACACGGGACAUGCAUAUUCAGACAAAAAACACCGUGUGGAGAAGAGAUCUCAGGAGAAACCAACUGCCAGCAUCUCCCUCUGGGAUUCCCACGUGCUGGAACUGUGAGAAAGCUGCACUGGUUCUGAAAAUGAAGAGAGGAACCUGGGAAUUGCUUUUACUGUAGGAGCAAGAGUGGAUGAAGACAAGCUGCAAACACCUACUGAGAUCUGUCUUCCCACGUCUACCUUAUACCUUUGUCUACUGUCCCUUACCAAAGCAUUUAGUAUUUGGAAACCCUCAACUGUCAAGCACAGGACUCCACUCAUUGACUGGAGGAGACAAGUCUGAGGGCUCAUUUCAGACAAAGGCAACUGGUAUGAGCAUGUCAUGAAGCUGGAAGAGGACUAGGAUGGCUGAUGAAAUAUUAGCUUAGAGACUGUUCUCUUCAGACUCCUUCAGUAAUGAGCUCAAGGUCACCCACCACUCAGGAGCUGAGGUGCAAAGGCCAAGGACAGAACUGAAGUGUGUACUGCAAGCUCUCGGCUCUCAGGAGACCCUACUUUCGGAAAUCAUAUAAUCCAGCGCUGUCUGAAUAACCAAAUACUCUUUAGACGAUGAAAUCUCUCAAUGCAGCUGUAAUAAAUAAGCAUCUACAUCCUUAAAGGAGGAAAGAAACAUCCCAUUAGUUAAUUAAGCAAAUACAAAUGCAAUCAACCUGC